Molecule: ribosomal RNA, 2835 nt
Filed under: Amylibacter sp.
Lineage: Bacteria; Pseudomonadati; Pseudomonadota; Alphaproteobacteria; Rhodobacterales; Paracoccaceae
Description: 23S ribosomal RNA
Rfam family: Bacterial large subunit ribosomal RNA
Source: RNAcentral
GAUCAAGCGCGAGAAGGGCGUUUGGUGGAUGCCUUGGCAGUAAGAGGCGAUGAAGGACGUGAUACUCUGCGAUAAGCUUUGGGAAGUCGAGAAUAGACGCUAUACCCAAAGAUCUCCGAAUGGGGCAACCCAACUGAUACUUUGUUAUUGUUACACUUUUGUGUAAUCAAUAAUGGGGUAAAACAGUUAUUAAUUACCUGAAUACAUAGGGUUUUUAAAGCAAACCUGGGGAACUGAAACAUCUAAGUACCCAGAGGAAAGGAAAUCAAUAGAUACUCCCGUAGUAGUGGCGAGCGAACCGGGACCAGCCGAGCGAUGAAUGUGACUAGAACCAGUUGGAAAGCUGGGCAAUAUGGGUGACAGCCCCGUAUAGGAAGCAUGAUUUGACGUAUUAAGUAGGGCGGAACACGUGAAAUUCUGUCUGAACAUGGGGGGACCACCCUCUAAGGCUAAGUACUCCUUACUGACCGAUAGCGAACCAGUACCGUGAGGGAAAGGUGAAAAGCACCCCGACGAGGGGAGUGAAACAGUUUCUGAAACCGGACGCCUACAAACAGUUGGAGCCUCUUUAUGGGGUGACAGCGUACCUUUUGUAUAAUGGGUCAACGACUUGGUCUUACUAGCAAGCUUAAGCCGAUAGGUGUAGGCGCAGCGAAAGCGAGUCUUAAUAGGGCGAAUGAGUUAGUAGGAUCAGACCCGAAACCGAGUGAUCUAGGCAUGAGCAGGUUGAAGGUAAGGUAACACUUACUGGAGGACCGAACCCACAUCUGUUGAAAAAGAUCGGGAUGACUUGUGCCUAGGGGUGAAAGGCCAAUCAAACUCGGAGAUAGCUGGUUCUCCGCGAAAUCUAUUUAGGUAGAGCGUCGCACGAAUACCUUGGGGGGUAGAGCACUGAAUGGGUAAUGGGGACUCACCGUCUUACUGAUCCUAAUCAAACUCCGAAUACCCAAGAGUAAUAUGCGGCAGACACACUGCGGAUGCUAACGUCCGUAGUGGAGAGGGAAACAACCCUGACCCUCAGCUAAGGCCCCUAAUUCAUGGCUAAGUGGGAAAGCAGGUGGGACGACCAAAACAACCAGGAAGUUGGCUUAGAAGCAGCCAUCUUUUAAAGAUAGCGUAACAGCUCACUGGUCUAAUUUAAGUUAUCCUGCGGCGAAGAUGUACCGGGGCUCAAGCCAUGAGCCGAAGCUAGGGAUGCAAUUUAUUGCAUGGUAGCGGAGCGUUCUGUGAUAUAGAACGCUGCGUCUUUAGUAUCUUAGGAUAUUGUGGACGCAAUGUUCUGACUGUGAAGCCGGCGCGUAAGCGAUCCGGUGGAGUGAUCAGAAGUGAGAAUGUUGACAUGAGUAGCGACAAACAGGGUGAGAGACCCUGUCGCCGAAAGUCCAAGGGUUCCUGCUUAAAGCUAAUCUGAGCAGGGUAAGCCGACCCCUAAGGCGAGGCCGAAAGGCGUAGUCGAUGGGAACCAGUUUAAUAUUACUGGGCCAGGAGAUGGUGACGGAUCGAAAGCGUAGUGACUCCUUAUCGGAUUGAAGUUGCUGCCGGACGGUUCCUGGAAAUAGCCCUCCAUUAGAUCGUACCCUAAACCAACACAGGUGGACUGGUAGAGAAUACCAAGGCGCUUGAGAGAACUACAUUGAAGGAACUCGGCAAAAUGCCUCCGUAAGUUCGCGAGAAGGAGGCCCCAUCAGAAGGCAACUUUUGGUGGGGGGGCACAGACCAGGGGGUGGCGACUGUUUACUAAAAACACAGGGCUCUGCGAAGUCGUAAGACGACGUAUAGGGUCUGACGCCUGCCCGGUGCUGGAAGGUUAAGAGGAGGUGUGCAAGCACUGAAUUGAAGCCCCAGUAAACGGCGGCCGUAACUAUAACGGUCCUAAGGUAGCGAAAUUCCUUGUCGGGUAAGUUCCGACCUGCACGAAUGGCGUAACGACUUCCCCGCUGUCUCCAAUGUAGACUCAGCGAAAUUGAAUUGCCUGUUAAGAUGCAGGCUUCCCGCGGUUAGACGGAAAGACCCCGUGCACCUUUACUACAGCUUCACACUGGCAUUAGGUCAGACGUGUGCAGGAUAGGUGGUAGGCUUUGAAACUCGGACGCUAGUUCGGGUGGAGCCUCCCUUGAGAUACCACCCCUGUCUGUCUUGAUGUCUAACCGCGGUCCGUUAUCCGGAUCCGGGACCCUGUGUGGCGGGUAGUUUGACUGGGGCGGUCGCCUCCUAAAGAGUAACGGAGGCGCGCGAUGGUUGGCUCAGACCGGUCGGAAAUCGGUCGUCGAGUGCAAUGGCAUAAGCCAGCCUGACUGUGAGUCUGACAAGACGAGCAGAGACGAAAGUCGGUCAUAGUGAUCCGGUGGUCCCGAGUGGAAGGGCCAUCGCUCAACGGAUAAAAGGUACGCCGGGGAUAACAGGCUGAUACUGCCCAAGAGUCCAUAUCGACGGCAGUGUUUGGCACCUCGAUGUCGGCUCAUCUCAUCCUGGGGCUGGAGCAGGUCCCAAGGGUAUGGCUGUUCGCCAUUUAAAGAGGUACGUGAGCUGGGUUUAGAACGUCGUGAGACAGUUCGGUCCCUAUCUGCCGUGGGUGUAGGAGACUUGAUGGGAGUUGCCCCUAGUACGAGAGGACCGGGGUGAACGAUCCACUGGUGGAUCUGUUGUUGCGCCAGCAGCAGUGCAGAGUAGCUAUGAUCGGACAGGAUAACCGCUGAAGGCAUCUAAGCGGGAAGCCCCCCCAGAAACAAGGUCUCCCUUGAGGGCCGUGGAAGACCACCACGUCGAUAGGUCGGAGAUGUAAGUGCUGUAAAGCAUUCAGUUGACCGAUACUAAUUGCCCGAUAGGCUUGAUUUG